Molecule: ribosomal RNA, 407 nt
Filed under: bacterium enrichment culture clone ALO1_GLFRUDD03GFJG8
Lineage: Bacteria
Description: bacterial SSU rRNA
Rfam family: Bacterial small subunit ribosomal RNA
Source: RNAcentral
GAGUUUGAUCGUGGCUCAGAUUGAACGCUGGCGGCAUGCCUUACACAUGCAAGUCGAACGGCAGCACGGGAGCUUGCUCCUGGUGGCGAGUGGCGAACGGGUGAGUAAUGCAUCGGAACGUAUCCUGGAGUGGGGGAUAACGUAGCGAAAGUUACGCUAAUACCGCAUAUUCUGUGAGCAGGAAAGCGGGGGACCUUCGGGCCUCGCGCUCUUGGAGCGGCCGAUGUCGGAUUAGCUAGUUGGUGAGGUAAAGGCUCACCAAGGCGACGAUCCGUAGCAGGUCUGAGAGGAUAAUCUGCCACACUGGAACUGAGACACGGUCCAGACUCCUACGGGAGGCAGCAGUGGGGAAUUUUGGACAAUGGGGGCAACCCUGAUCCAGCCAUGCCGCGUGAGUGAAGAAGGCC